This 253-nucleotide ribosomal RNA is filed under the name uncultured bacterium. RNAcentral describes it as "partial 16S ribosomal RNA". It matches the Rfam family "Bacterial small subunit ribosomal RNA", at positions 524 to 776 of the family's 1533-position model. The record is from RNAcentral.
UACAGAGGUCUCGAGCGUUGUUCGGAUUCAUUGGGCGUAAAGGGCGCGUAGGCUGCGGGGCAAGUCGGGUGUGAAAUCUCAGAGCUCAACUCUGAAACUGCACUCGAUACUGCUUUGCUUGAGGACUGGAGAGGAGAUUGGAAUUCACGGUGUAGCAGUGAAAUGCGUAGAUAUCGUAAGGAAGACCAGUGGCGAAGGCGGGUCUCUGGACAGUUCCUGACGCUGAGGCACGAAGGCCAGGGGAGCAAACGGG